UUUCGGAAUAUGCGCACAUACUCAGCGUGGCAAACGCGCGCCGAGGUUAGUGAAGGAAUUCGAGUGUGUGAAGCAGUUGAGUCUCGCCGCCUAAUUAGCAGACAGGCGCCAAGGCUGUUGCGAACGAAGGCGUCGGUUAACCGGCAUUGCGCCGAACAACCCGGGAGGACCACCUCAAGGACGACUGGUUGCGUUUCGGUGUGGUUUCAGGGAAACGAGGGAACCUUUCGCCCUGCAAACGUGUGAAGGCAACCAAGCCGCCCUUCCGACGACGAUUCGUUGCGUUUGACGACGUCUUCUGGGAAACAAUGAUGCCUUUCGCCCCCGCAAAAUGUGCACGCGAUUAAGCGAGCGUACAGGGUCCGAAGCGACUGUCCCUACGGGAAAAAAAUGCGUCCCGUCUUGUGCCCAAGGAUGACUGGCGAGCCGGAGACUCCGAACAUAUUUAGGGCCGUGCCGGCCCGUAGCGCAGUCGACACUGUUGUUCGAGAUCUGCUCAAAGUCUUCGGCCUCUUAGCAGACCGGCGAGAACUCCCGUCAGCAGUAGGCGCACCUGCGUGAUGAAGUGUUUUGUGCCAGGAUGCCCUAAUCGAACAGAAAAUCGGCGCGAUGGCCUGUCCUUCCAUAGACGCUUGCAAAGGACGAUGCCACAGCAAUGAGUCAACCUUAAAGUGAAGCAGCUACAUCCACGGGAACAUAACAGCAUCAAGUUGAGCCAGUAAGUUGGUGCACAGCUGUAUGCAGCCAUAAUGCAUGUUUCCAGUUUGAUCAUACCUUUUUCAUGACUGUGGUAGAUGUCCCCCACCAUUCCUGAAGUGAAAUAUGCUUUUCUUAUAUUCAGGCAGGUCUCUCUCAAGCCACAAUGGAUAUGGACAUCUCUGAGGGCUUGUCUGAUUGAUGUGCUAGCAGAGGGUACUGCUACAUCUGCUAGCGCGUCCUUGACUGAUUCAGACAUCGCUGAUGAGCCUUCCGAAAUCCAACAUGUCCUGGCAUGUUUGAUUGUCGUAAUGAUCACAGAGCUUGCUUAAGACAUUUUCUCACAUGUGUGCCUUGGUUGAUUCAUGUUCUGAUCUGCUUUGCAAAAAUCUGGUGUUUCCCUUUAAUAUAUAUUUUGGAUUUCACCUUUAAAGUAAUUAUUUAAGUUUCAAAAAUGCAUAUGAGACUGUCAUACAGCUUUUUGUAAGAUGUUUUCGACAGAUUUAAAAGAUCUAUUAGUAAUGCUCAGAAUGAAGAGAAAGAUAGAACUGUUCAACCUAUCAUUGGCUACAUUACAGCCCUUUUUUGACACAGGUGACAAGCAUACUGCGUUCAAAUUUCAUUGUUAACACUGGCAAAAGCAAGUGCUAAUGAAUGAAAGCCAUAUAUGCUACAUCAUAAUCUCAUUUUAGUCAAUCUAGGAUAAGUACAAGAUAAGGAAAAUAAAACAAACUGCAGCAAAGCAGUGUUAUGUAAGAUGAAAAACCACUUUUUUUCAGUAAAGUUGGAAUAAGGAAAACACACUCCUUCUCUGAAUUAUACUUCAGCCAUGUCCUCUCAUUACACACAUAAUUAACACCCUUGCUAGGCUCCAACAUUUACAACAGUAAUAAAAUUUAUAACAUGCCAACUGUGCUGGUAAGCUUUAUCAACAUUUUUUGGGACAGUAGAUAAAAAAUACAGUAUAUAGCCACAGCCACUGAUCUCCCUAACAAUGUCCUGCUUGCUGGUCAUUAUUGUGCUUAAAUUUUAAAUGAAGCCAAUGGUGUCGCUAUUAGUCCCAGGUUUUAGCUUCAACUGUGCAUCUGGUGUUUCGUUUGCACGGUCAGCAAUUUCAAGUUAUGUUGCAGUAAGCAGUCCCUCCUCAUUGCACUUGGUGUAUUUUGUCCAGUCUCCCAGUCCAAGGCCCUCCAGGACGCUCAAGGGUGAAGCUUCUGCAGCACUGCCUACACACAACCCAGCGACACCUCGAACAGCAAGGCAUACUAUGGUGAGGAUAAUACUCGACCACUACAAUUUUUACAUACUUGUUUCCUUAGGUAGCUGCAAGUGAAGUGGCAUAUAUUUUCGUGGCAACUGUUUAAUAGCUCAAGCAUAAUAAAUGUCACUCAGUGAACUGCACUUGGACACUAACAUUUAUGAUCAUGGCAACCAUCUAAUUAAAUACUGAAACAUUCAUAUUUGUUCGCAGCGGUAUGAGUUUCCUCAGGGUUUGCAUUAAACACCAAUUAUCGGCCAAUAAUCCUUUUUCAAUUUUUCUUUUCCAUUCAAAUGACACAAUAACUAGAAGACCAACAGGUUUUUCACAAUUUUCUAUGCUCUUUAUAUGUUCGAUCGGUCACAAUGAGCCGUGAUAUAUGAGCUCAGUAUAUUUUGCCCACUCAAACUAAAAGGCUUCUUUAAAACAUCUCUCAUUGAACUAUGCUACAUUGGCCUCUUCUGUGUUAGUUGUUUUGUACUUCUACCUUUCCUGCCUGGGCCCAGAUGGGCCUGCAGUAUUUAGCAAAUAAAUAAACAAACAAAAUUAAGUGGCACUAGCAAGCUCGUGUGGAUGGCAGUUUUAUGCCCCCACAGUUUUUAAGUUCACAAAAGUGUAAACGGAAACCGUCGUGAGCAAUGUAAUGACCUAAAAUUAAGCAUUAUAUUCUUCAUAGCUUGCACAAGAGUGUAUGCCACAACAAUUAAUUUGUUCUGCGUACGUGCUUUGUGUCAUGUUGGUCGCUCAUGCACCUGUUACAGCGCGUGAUAUUUUGCAGCCACAGCCAGCAGAAGACGCACCUGAAAAGGCCUUUCUGAGGCAUGAAGUAUGGCGUUACACAAUUACAAACUGCGACCAAGAAGAAGAUGAAGACUCUACGGCAAUCCCAUCAACAGCUUUUUCAAAAGGUUGCUCAUCUCGAAAAUGUCAUAGAAGAUUUAUCUGACAAUCGCAUUCUAGGAAAUGAGGAUGUCGCCAUAUUGCAGAGUCUUGGUGGGGCAAAAAAAGACUUGCUCAUGCGUCAACUGCCACAUAAGUCUGGUGCCAGCAAUGUCACCCGCUUACUCGCCAGAGCUCAGGCCAUUUGCACUGACUUUGCAUUCUUAUUCCCCUAGAGCAUACAGAUAUGUACGAGCUGUUUUCAACACAUGCCUCCCGCAUCCAAAGACACUGUGUAAAUGAUAUCAAUCCAUUGAUAGGGCUGCUGACUUUUCAAAAGAGGCAAUGACUGCAUUGGCUAUCAAGGUAAAGCACGGCUCUCCACAUUAUGCAAUCUGGUUGUGGAUGAGAUGGCCAUUCAAAGAAGUAGUGUGGGAUGGGAAAAGCUUCCAUGGAUAUGUUGACAUGGGCAUUGAUGUCAAUGAUGACAGCUUUCCAGUUGCCUAAGAUGCAUUUGUUUUAAUGCUUGUUGCAAUCAAUGGCAGAUGGAAGCUGCCGAUUGGCUACUUUCUAGUGCAUGGCCUUGGUGGUGAGCAGAGGCGCAAUUUGGUGCUGCAAGCUGCUAGCUUCACUCACGAAAAAGGUGCACACAUUGUGAGUUUGACCUGCGAUGGCGCUGCAGCGAAUUUGUCAUUGCUGCACAGCCUUGGCUGCAAGAUGGACCUGACUGAGCUGGAUGCUUCUUUUCCACAUCCAGUGACAAAAAAAGCUUUUCUUUGCCAUGUUGGAUCCCUGUCACAUGUUGAAGCUACUGCGGCACACCCUGUUUGAUAAAAAAGCUAUUGUGAUACGAACAAACAGUUCAUAUUGUUGAAACACAUUGAUGAGCUGCAUGAAAUACAGUACACAGAGGGCCUACAUUUGGCAAACAAACUUAGACAAGCACAUAUUACCUGGAAAAGCCAGCCCAUGAAAGUCUCAUUGUUGGCUCAAACGUUUAGUCAAUUGGUAGCAGAUGCUCUUGGUGACUGCAGAGCUCAAAAAAAUUCAAAAUUUUCAAAUUCCUUGCCAACAGAAGAGUUUAUCAGACAUGUCAACAAUGCAUUUGACAUUUUAAAUUCAAGACAUCCAAGGCAAGAAGAAUAGAAAGGACCGCUGUGUCCUGAAAAUGUGGCUCCUGUCACUGCGUAUGUCAAAGAACUUAUGGCCUACUUUGCUCGCUUAGGGAGUCUGCAGCUGGUAAACUAAUGACAGGGACCAACCAAAAGACAGGCUUCAUUUGCUUUGUGGUGUGCUUAGACAACCGUCCAUACAACCACUUGGUUACAGAAAAUGGCCUAUUGGCAUAUCUUCCGACUUCCAAGCUCAGUCAGGACCACCUUGAGUUACUUUUUUGCUGCAAUAAAAUCAUUUGGGGGCUGCAAUGACAACCCAACAGCAAAGCAGUUUGCAGCAGCAUUGAAGCGUCUGAUAGUUCGUAAUGAGGUCAAGGACAUUGAUGGCGGAAAUUGCUUUCUAUUGGAACACAUCGAAAUUCUCUUUGUACGCUCCUCUGAAAAAACCAUACUCCAUCGAUGUAAUUAACCUCACUGCCCCUCAGAGAAGCCCUGCAGCCAGUGAACCACUCACAGAAGCAAUUUUACAGGAUCAUGGUUACUCUGCUGACCCAGGCAAUGUGUCUGAGCUUGGGUGCCUGCGGCUCGCAGUACUGGAAGAAUUGCUACACAAGUUUUCUCGUGGGUGAAUUAUGUUCAUGAUGGCCCACACAAUUAAUUCCUUUAUCCAUCAACUUCAGCUGUCCCACCAGGUUUUAUGUUAAGGCAUUUAUUUGUUUUUUGAGUGACUUUGUAAAGUGCAUAUAUUGUUCAAGAGCGUUGUAUGCAGAUGUCAAACUUUUAUAGAGGGAAAAUGUGAUACCUUAUUGUAAAUUCUGCAAGUACAUGUUUGUUGUCUUGCUGAAUGCUGUAGCUUGAAUCGCCUGCAUGCAAAUUAUGCUUAAACAAUUGUUCUGUUCAGCCCAAGCUAAACAGUGUGGACAAUGACGGUAGGUUAGCUGGCCUACCUUUCACUAGAGCAAACUGUGUGAUGACAUGGACAUGCUGUGAAUGCUCUCAAUGGAUUAUGUGUGAGCUAGGUAUACGCUUGAGGAUGACAAUGUUUUUUUUAAUGUUUAUCCUGUAUGUCUUUUACCUGACUUUUGUGGAAAUUUGCCACUGCCACCUGGAAUACCGUUGGUGUUACUAUUUAAAUAAUUUAAUGUGCUCACUCUGUUCACUUGCUUUACAAUAGCCUUUUAUGAUGCCAGAUUCACUGUAACCACAAACAUUUGGUGUAUACCACUCAAUGAGUGUUUUAAAUACCGUGAAAUAUUCAUUCAUUUGAGGUUCACAACGUAAUAGAGCCAUCGCGUCCUAAUUGCGGUGUGUUGGCUCAGCUUCGACGGUGCUAACUUUUUUGUAGGUAUGU
Dermacentor silvarum is the source of this 5299-nucleotide long non-coding RNA. RefSeq lists it as uncharacterized. Lineage: Eukaryota; Metazoa; Arthropoda; Arachnida; Ixodida; Ixodidae. The transcript is spliced from 2 exons. The record is from RefSeq and is a predicted model, not a curated record.